Molecule: transfer RNA, 72 nt
Filed under: Camelus bactrianus (Bactrian camel)
Lineage: Eukaryota; Metazoa; Chordata; Mammalia; Artiodactyla; Camelidae
Also listed under: 1 other name
Rfam family: tRNA
About the family: Transfer RNA (tRNA) molecules are approximately 80 nucleotides in length. Their secondary structure includes four short double-helical elements and three loops (D, anti-codon, and T loops).
Source: Rfam by way of RNAcentral
GAGGGUGUAGCUCAGUGGUAGAGCAUGUGCUUAGCGUGCACGAGGUUCUGGGUUCACUCCCCAGCGCCUCCA